Molecule: ribosomal RNA, 377 nt
Filed under: uncultured bacterium
Lineage: Bacteria
Description: bacterial SSU rRNA
Rfam family: Bacterial small subunit ribosomal RNA
Source: RNAcentral
AUUGAACGCUGGCGGCAUGCUUUACACAUGCAAGUCGAACGGCAGCGCGGGGGCAACCCUGGCGGCGAGUGGCGAACGGGUGAGUAAUGCAUCGGAACGUAUCCUGUAAUGGGGGGAUAACGUAGCGAAAGUUACGCUAAUACCGCAUACGCUCGAGAGAGGAAAGUGGGGGAUCGCAAGACCUCACGUUAUAGGAGCGGCCGAUGUCCGAUUAGCUAGUUGGUGGGGUAAAGGCCUACCAAGGCGACGAUCGGUAGCUGGUCUGAGAGGAUGAUCAGCCACACUGGGACUGAGACACGGCCCAGACUCCUACGGGAGCAGCAGUGGGGAAUUUUGGACAAUGGGCGAAAGCCUGAUCCAGCCAUGCCGCGUGCGGG